RNAcentral lists this ribosomal RNA (497 nucleotides) under uncultured bacterium. RNAcentral describes it as "partial 16S ribosomal RNA". It matches the Rfam family "Bacterial small subunit ribosomal RNA", at positions 28 to 507 of the family's 1533-position model. The record is from RNAcentral.
GAUGAACGCUGGCGGCGUGCCUAAUACAUGCAAGUCGAGCGAACGGACGAGAAGCUUGCUUCUCUGAUGUUAGCGGCGGACGGGUGAGUAACACGUGGAUAACCUACCUAUAAGACUGGGAUAACUUCGGGAAACCGGAGCUAAUACCGGAUAAUAUUUUGAACAGCAUGGUUCAAAAGUGAAAGACGGUCUUGCUGUCACUUAUAGAUGGAUCCGCGCUGCAUUAGCUAGUUGGUAAGGUAACGGCUUACCAAGGCAACGAUGCAUAGCCGACCUGAGAGGGUGAUCGGCCACACUGGAACUGAGACACGGUCCAGGCUCCUACGGGAGGCAGCAGUAGGGAAUCUUCCGCAAUGGGCGAAAGCCUGACGGAGCAACGCCGCGUGAGUGAUAAAGGUCUUCGGAUCGUAAAACUCUGUUAUUAGGGAAGAACAUAUGUGUAAGUAACUGUGCACAUCUUGACGGUACCUAAUCAGAAAGCCACGGCUAACUACGUG